CGCGUAGGUGGUUUUUCAAGUCAGGCGUGAAAGCCCCGGGCUUAACCUGGGAACUGCGUUUGAUACUGGAUGACUAGAGGACGAGAGAGGAAAGUGGAAUUCCGAGUGUAGAGGUGAAAUUCGUAGAUAUUCGGAGGAACAUCAGAGGCGAAGGCGGCUUUCUGGCUCGUAUCUGACACUGAGGCGCGAAAGCGUGGGGAGCAAACA
RNAcentral lists this ribosomal RNA (207 nucleotides) under uncultured bacterium. RNAcentral describes it as "partial 16S ribosomal RNA". It matches the Rfam family "Bacterial small subunit ribosomal RNA", at positions 568 to 774 of the family's 1533-position model. The record is from RNAcentral.